RNAcentral lists this ribosomal RNA (530 nucleotides) under Aspergillus flavus. Its description in RNAcentral is "eukaryotic LSU rRNA". The stretch from base 214 to 367 matches the Rfam family "5.8S ribosomal RNA". The record is from RNAcentral. Lineage: Eukaryota; Fungi; Ascomycota; Eurotiomycetes; Eurotiales; Aspergillaceae.
UCCGUAGGGUGAACCUUCGGAAGGAUCAUUACCGAGUGUAGGGUUCCUAGCGAGCCCAACCUCCCACCCGUGUUUACUGUACCUUAGUUGCUUCGGCGGGCCCGCCAUUCAUGGCCGCCGGGGGCUCUCAGCCCCGGGCCCGCGCCCGCCGGAGACACCACGAACUCUGUCUGAUCUAGUGAAGUCUGAGUUGAUUGUAUCGCAAUCAGUUAAAACUUUCAACAAUGGAUCUCUUGGUUCCGGCAUCGAUGAAGAACGCAGCGAAAUGCGAUAACUAGUGUGAAUUGCAGAAUUCCGUGAAUCAUCGAGUCUUUGAACGCACAUUGCGCCCCCUGGUAUUCCGGGGGGCAUGCCUGUCCGAGCGUCAUUGCUGCCCAUCAAGCACGGCUUGUGUGUUGGGUCGUCGUCCCCUCUCCGGGGGGGACGGGCCCCAAAGGCAGCGGCGGCACCGCGUCCGAUCCUCGAGCGUAUGGGGCUUUGUCACCCGCUCUGUAGGCCCGGCCGGCGCUUGCCGAACGCAAAUCAAUCUU